RNAcentral lists this ribosomal RNA (521 nucleotides) under uncultured bacterium. RNAcentral describes it as "bacterial SSU rRNA". It matches the Rfam family "Archaeal small subunit ribosomal RNA", at positions 345 to 866 of the family's 1478-position model. The record is from RNAcentral.
AACCUCCGCAAUGUGAGAAAUCGCGACGGGGGGAUCCCAAGUGCCAUUCUUAACGGGAUGGCUUUUCAUUAGUGUAAAGAGCUUUUGGAAUAAGAGCUGGGCAAGACCGGUGCCAGCCGCCGCGGUAACACCGGCAGCUCUAGUGGUAACAAUUUUUAUUGGGCCUAAAGCGUCCGUAGCCGGUUUAAUAAGUCUCUGGUGAAAUCCUGUAGCUUAACUGUGGGAAUUGCUGGAGAUACUAUUAGACUUGAGACCGGGAGAGGUUAGAGGUGCUCCCAGGGUAGAGGUGAAAUUCUGUAAUCCUGGGAGGACCGCCUGUUGCGAAGGCGUCUAACUGGAACGGUUCUGACGGUGAGGGACGAAAGUUAGGGGCGCGAACCGGAUUAGAUACCCGGGUAGUCCUAACUGUAAACGAUGCGGACUUGGUGUUGGGGUGGCUUUGAGCUGCUCCAGUGCCGAAGGGAAGCUGUUAAGUCCGCCGCCUGGGAAGUACGGUCGCAAGACUGAAACUUAAAGGAAUU